Molecule: transfer RNA, 72 nt
Filed under: Sphaerodactylus townsendi
Lineage: Eukaryota; Metazoa; Chordata; Lepidosauria; Squamata; Sphaerodactylidae
Description: tRNA-Ala
Rfam family: tRNA
About the family: Transfer RNA (tRNA) molecules are approximately 80 nucleotides in length. Their secondary structure includes four short double-helical elements and three loops (D, anti-codon, and T loops). Further hydrogen bonds mediate the characteristic L-shaped molecular structure. tRNAs have two regions of fundamental functional importance: the anti-codon, which is responsible for specific mRNA codon recognition, and the 3' end, to which the tRNAs corresponding amino acid is attached (by aminoacyl-tRNA synthetases). tRNAs cope with the degeneracy of the genetic code in two manners: having more than one tRNA (with a specific anti-codon) for a particular amino acid; and 'wobble' base-pairing, i.e. permitting non-standard base-pairing at the 3rd anti-codon position.
Source: RNAcentral
AGGGUUGUGGUUCAGUGGUAGAUCUCCUGCUUGGCAUGCAGAAAGGCACCAGUUCAAACCCUGGCAUCUCCA